Molecule: long non-coding RNA, 745 nt
Filed under: Panax ginseng (ginseng)
Lineage: Eukaryota; Viridiplantae; Streptophyta; Magnoliopsida; Apiales; Araliaceae
Description: long non-coding RNA (PGIN_LNC016848)
Source: RNAcentral
ACAAAUUAAGCUUUCUCGGUGCACGUGGUUUGUCCACCAAGGUACGUAGGGUACUAGCUAGGGUAGGUGUUGAUAAUAUCCACAUCCUCCAAGUACUUAAUUUUUCCCUGCAGAAGCCACAAUUAAAGCAUAUACAUACAUACAUACCCACAGUACUUGGUUACUUCAAGCUUGUUCACAUAAGAAUUAAACCCACGUAACUGUUCAGAAACCCUAAGAAACAUAUUCAAUUAUUUGCACUCCUAAACUAAACUACUCCUCUUCAACAUCAAUUAAGAGACGAGGAAAAUUAUAAUAAUAAAAAUUAAAAAAUAAAUUAAUUCCAACAUGUUUUUCCGACUUUAAACGAUAUACUUGCAUCAUAAUCGAAAGCAACAAGUCUUGUAGGGGUUUUUCAAUUUAAUAUAUUAUUGUAGAUCAAAAAUUAUGACACUUUAAAAAUAUACGGAUCCAAAAAAUUAUUCCAAUUCUAAUUCGGACACGUCGGCGGUGAAUCUAGACAUAAUUGAAAUGUACAGAGAAAAACAUGAAUAAUGAUUGGUGAAUGAAUGAGUGCAUUAAUUAGCAGACAGUGGUUGGUGGUCCUACACCUCUAUCCAUCUCUCACCAAACCUUUAAAGGAGAAACGAGAGAUCAGAGGAGAUGAUCCCUUUAUUCCUUUGCCACCCAUACAGAUACAAUGAGAGAAAGAAAGAGAUUGACAGUCAUUUUACAAUGCCAACCACACCAAGGUUGACACCUGAAC